UUUAUAAUUUUUUUUAUGAAAUUAAUGUGUGAAAUGAAAUUGUAGUGUUAUUUUUUUAAUUAUUUUAAAAUCUAGAAUUUUAUUUUGCCAUGAUUCUUUUAAUAUUUUGGAUACGGGUUCAGAUAUUUUACCCCAAAUCCCUUAUGAUUAAAUUUCCAGUAAAAAAUGCAAAAAAACAAUUGGGUUUGGGCAGGUUCUGGUAAUAUGCGGAUGGUAGUAA
Molecule: unclassified non-coding RNA, 220 nt
Filed under: Hevea brasiliensis (rubber tree)
Lineage: Eukaryota; Viridiplantae; Streptophyta; Magnoliopsida; Malpighiales; Euphorbiaceae
Source: RNAcentral